RNAcentral lists this long non-coding RNA (281 nucleotides) under Capsicum annuum. RNAcentral describes it as "long non-coding RNA (CANN_LNC005013)". Lineage: Eukaryota; Viridiplantae; Streptophyta; Magnoliopsida; Solanales; Solanaceae. The record is from RNAcentral.
AUCGCCCCUCCCUUCUCUAUUCUCCUCUCUACCGAUCUUCUCCACCCCUCAAGCCAUAAAACCAUAAUCACCAUAGACUGCAACCAUGGUAGAUAUGACUACCAUACCUUCUAGAAAAUUUCCCUUUUUCUAAACGUCUAAUCUAUCAAAUCCGCAAAAAUCGGAAAGAACAGGUCCCAAUUUAGUGCAACAAUUCAAAAUAAUUUCAAAUUUGGGUUUUUGAAGUCCGAAAUCAUAGAAAUGGAGGUCUAAAGGCUGUGAAAUUUUGUUUUUGAAUGGGG